Molecule: ribosomal RNA, 319 nt
Filed under: uncultured Cercozoa
Lineage: Eukaryota; Cercozoa
Description: SSU rRNA
Rfam family: Eukaryotic small subunit ribosomal RNA (bases 78-319)
Source: RNAcentral
GAUUUCUGGUACGGUGCGCUUGGCCCGUACGGCUCUGUCGUACGCGUGUCGAUGUGUGCCUGCCAUCCUUCCAGUAAACCAUCUACUCUUAACGGGGCGGGUGGCGAUCUGGAUCUUUUACUUUGAAAAAAUUAGAGUGUUUAAAGCAAGCUUGUGCGUUGAAUACAUUAGCAUGGAAUAAUAAUUUAGGACUUUAUUCCUAUUUUAUUGGUUUCUAGGAGUGAAGUAAUGAUUGAUAGGGAUAGUUGGGGGUGCUAGUAUUCAGCGGCCAGAGGUGAAAUUCUUGGAUUCGCUGAAGACUAACUAAUGCGAAAGCAUU